AUGCUGGCGGAUAUUCCUAGAGAGACUGCCAUUCCACAUUCUGAAGAAAUACCUAGAGACGAGAUACACCAUCGUGAUCCACCAGUAGAGAGACUGCCAUUCCACAUUGAAAACGAGCAACAAGUUAUUUUUCCGGACUCGACUGACAUUGAAAAAAUAGUAAGAAUGCCAGGAUCCACAAGUACUAAGUUCACUGAGUGGAUGGAGGCAAACAAAAUACAUGAGGUGGGAAAAGAAUUAACCUAUGCAGAAUUCCCAUCAAAAUUUGUAUGGAAAAGUGACUCCAAAACUUGGGAGAAGCGGAAAAGGGGCUUUGCGAAUGGAAGAAUUUACUAUGCACACCCUACAAGUGGUGACUGGUAUUAUAUGAGAAUGCUUCUAAACACCAAGAAAGGAUGCACAUCAUUUGAGGAUAUUAGAACAAUUAAUGGAGUAGUUCACCCAACAUACAAAUCAGCAUGCCAAGCGCUUGGAUUUCUUGAUGACGAUAGUGAGUGGAUUGAAGGCAUCAAUGAAGCAUCAAGUUGGGGGUCAGGGAUACGAUUACAGCAGCUAUUCACCACAAUAUUAUGCCAUUGUGAGGUGACCAGCCCAAAAAUGUUGUGGGAUUCAACAUGGGAGGCACUAUCUGAAGAUAUCCAGUACAAAAGAAGAAUAAUCCUAAACUUUCCUAUGCUGCAGCUAACUGAUUCAUAG
Molecule: ribosomal RNA, 696 nt
Filed under: Triticum aestivum (bread wheat)
Lineage: Eukaryota; Viridiplantae; Streptophyta; Magnoliopsida; Poales; Poaceae
Description: partial small subunit ribosomal RNA
Source: RNAcentral